RNAcentral lists this unclassified non-coding RNA (343 nucleotides) under soil metagenome. RNAcentral's name for it is "partial contains 5.8S ribosomal RNA, internal transcribed spacer 2, and large subunit ribosomal RNA". The stretch from base 1 to 120 matches the Rfam family "5.8S ribosomal RNA", at positions 35 to 154 of the family's 154-position model. The record is from RNAcentral.
GAUGAAGAACGCAGCGAAACGCGAUAAGUAAUGUGAAUUGCAGAAUCCAGUGAAUCAUCGAAUCUUUGAACGCACAUUGCGCCCCCCAGCAUUCUGGCGGGCAUGCCUGUUCGAGCGUCAUUUCAACCCUCGACCUCCCCUUGGGGAGGUCGGCGUUGGGGACCGGCAGCACACCGCCGGCCCUGAAAUGGAGUGGCGGCCCGUCCGCGGCGACCUCUGCGCAGUAAUACAGCUCGCACCGGGACCCCGACGCGGCCACGCCGUAAAACACCCAACUUCUGAACGUUGACCUCGAAUCAGGUAGGACUACCCGCUGAACUUAAGCAUAUCAAUAAGCGGAGGA